Molecule: unclassified non-coding RNA, 464 nt
Filed under: uncultured fungus
Lineage: Eukaryota; Fungi
Description: partial internal transcribed spacer 1
Rfam family: Bacterial small subunit ribosomal RNA
Source: RNAcentral
CCUACGGGAGGCAGCAGUCGAGAAUUUUUCUCAAUGGGGGAAACCCUGAAGGAGCGACGCCGCGUGGAGGAUGAAGGCUUUCGGGUUGUAAACUCCUGUCAUUUGAGAACAAGGUGCACCGGUUAACUGCCGGUGCAUUGAUAGUAUCAGAAGAGGAAGGGACGGCUAACUCUGUGCCAGCAGCCGCGGUAAUACAGAGGUCCCAAGCGUUGUUCGGAUUCAUUGGGCGUAAAGGGUGCGUAGGUGGCGCCGUAAGUCGGGUGUGAAAUUUCGGAGCUUAACUCCGAAACUGCAUUCGAUACUGCGGUGCUUGAGGACUGGAGAGGAGACUGGAAUUCAUGGUGUAGCAGUGAAAUGCGUAGAGAUCAUGAGGAAGACCAGUGGCGAAGGCGGGUCUCUGGACAGUUCCUGACACUGAGGCACGAAGGCCAGGGGAGCAAACGGGAUUAGAUACCCUAGUAGUC